AGUGGGGAAUAUUGGACAAUGGGGGCAACCCUGAUCCAGCAAUGCCGCGUGAGUGAUGAAGGCCUUAGGGUUGUAAAGCUCUUUUGCCAGGGACGAUGAUGACGGUACCUGGAGAAUAAGCCCCGGCUAACUUCGUGCCAGCAGCCGCGGUAAUACGAAGGGGGCGAGCGUUGUUCGGAAUUACUGGGCGUAAAGGGCGCGUAGGCGGUUUGACAAGUCAGGCGUGAAAUUCCCGGGCUCAACCUGGGGGCUGCGCUUGAUACUGUUGAGCUUGAAUGCAGGAGAGGAUGGUGGAAUUCCCAGUGUAGAGGUGAAAUUCGUAGAUAUUGGGAAGAACACCGGUGGCGAAGGCGGCCAUCUGGCCUGUGAUUGACGCUGAGGCGCGAAAGCGUGGGGAGCAAA
This 402-nucleotide ribosomal RNA is filed under the name uncultured bacterium. Its description in RNAcentral is "bacterial SSU rRNA". It matches the Rfam family "Bacterial small subunit ribosomal RNA", at positions 353 to 772 of the family's 1533-position model. The record is from RNAcentral.